UACGAAGGGGGCUAGCGUUGCUCGGAAUCACUGGGCGUAAAGGGUGCGUAGGCGGGUCUUUAAGUCAGGGGUGAAAUCCUGGAGCUCAACUCCAGAACUGCCUUUGAUACUGAGGAUCUUGAGUUCGGGAGAGGUGAGUGGAACUGCGAGUGUAGAGGUGAAAUUCGUAGAUAUUCGCAAGAACACCAGUGGCGAAGGCGGCUCACUGGCCCGAUACUGACGCUGAGGCACGAAAGCGUGGGGAGCAAACAGGAAUU
Molecule: ribosomal RNA, 257 nt
Filed under: uncultured bacterium
Lineage: Bacteria
Description: partial 16S ribosomal RNA
Rfam family: Bacterial small subunit ribosomal RNA
Source: RNAcentral